This is an RNA transcript of Epinephelus lanceolatus (giant grouper), 4925 nucleotides long. It is a transcript of the gene named protein kinase, AMP-activated, gamma 3b non-catalytic subunit, with no coding region annotated. Lineage: Eukaryota; Metazoa; Chordata; Actinopteri; Perciformes; Serranidae. The record is from RefSeq and is a predicted model, not a curated record.
UAAAUUCUUGCGUGAGUUCUAUUUAAUGAGCAUCUACAGGAGUGAGUGUUGUAAAGUGGUGAUAUAAUGCAGAGUCAGGCAGCAGGCUUCACCACCAUGUACAACUAAAUUGCAGGGGUUUUCUGUGCUUAGUAUGGUAUUUGAAUAAUGCUCAUUUUUAUUUUGGUACAACUUUGACUUGACUGAGGAUGCACUGUUGGAGUUAUAGGGAAAAAUGGCAACUAAAUUUAUUGUUGUUAUUGUUUUAUCAGUAUUUUAUUGGUGUGUAAAGCUGCAUGUAAACUCACAGCUCUGCUGAAAGGCAGGGGAUUGCUUCAAUCCUCACUGUGUCUAAAAAUAGUUUGACUUGUAAUGGCCCAGUGAAACUUGAACAUCUCCCACAGUAGGACGGCUAAAUCCUUAAAGCUGCACUGGUCCUUUUUUUUUUUUAAAUUUGUCAGUUGAUCAAACGACUGUGCAAUGUCAAACUUUUCACUCAUGACAAGCUCACAGAGAAUCAUCAUCCCACUUUGCAGCUCCUCUCAGCUCUGCAGAGCAUUUUAGGAUCAUUCAGCUCAUCGUUUUAAGGCCUGCAGCUUUAGGGCUUUGAUUCACUGUCACCGCUCUCACCACGUUCAUUGUUCUGCAAACAAAACUCUGUCAUGUGUUCGCUACCUGCCCAACACCAGAAGACAAAGUUGGCAACCAGCUGGUAAACAUGGUGGAGCAUUUAGUAGCUAAAUAACUAGAUAUUUCCCUCCCUCAGGAGUGUCCAGAAACACAACUUCAAACAAACAUUAAUGUAGCUCUGUUAUCUCUUUCACAACAAUGACCAGGGUCAGAUCGGGGUUAUCUCAACCCUUCUUUUGUCAGUUAAGUUAUUGCUCCAAAGGUCCUUGUUUGCAAUUUUAUUUGUCCGCAGUGUGAACAAACUCAGCUGCAUCUUAAAUGAUAAUCUGUUGCCCCUUUUUGACAGUCACGGGUUGGCUUGGCUUGGUUUGGGCCGUCAGCCCAGCCCAGCACAGCACAGCACGUAUUUGCAUUUCCACUACAGCAGGGCUACCUUCUUGAAGGUGUGUCAGCUGAUGAUGGCCGGUCUUGAGUGAUGACGUGUGUAGACAGUUCCUGGAUAACAAAGGCAUUGAGGCCAUUGACUAGCCCUCUCGUUCUCCUGACCCAAAUCCAACUGAGCACCUACGGGACGUUAUGUAUUGUGCAUCUGACGCCACAGACUGUCCAGGAGCUCACUGAUGCCCUGAUCCAGGUCUGGGAGGAGAUCCCCCAGGACAAUAUCUGCCGACUCAUCAGGAGCAUGCCCAGACGUUGUCAGGAGUGCAUACAGGCAGGCAGGGGCCAUACACAACACAGAGUCACAUUAUGAGUUGUAUCAGCCUGUGAUUUCAAUCUUUGGUAUGAUUUUCAAUGAUUUGAUUUUGGGUUCCACUGACCGUUGUUAUGUCAUUUUGUUCUCAACAAAUUACACAAUGUACAUCAGUAAAGACUGUCAACUUGAAUAAUUAAUUCAUCAAGAUCUGAUGUGUGAUUCAAGUGCUCCCUUAAUUUUUUUGAGCAGUGUAAUUAAUGAUAAAUGUCUCGGGGGUGUGUCUGUCUUUAGCCCCCUUAACUCUCCCUGUAACAGUUUGUGCUCUGUACACACUUCCCCUCCCUCUUCCUCUGUGUCUGAAUGCCACAGGCCUCUCACCCCUCAGUCCAGAUUUAGACCUCAGUCUCUCCCGGACAUUCAGACCCAGCUGACUGUAGCCGGCUGGUGGUGCACAGGUUCUCUUGUAUCCCUCAGUCUUUUGUUUCCAUUACUUCCUCUCCUUCCUGCCCUUCUUCACUGUGCCUGGACUGAUCUGACAUGGUAGCAGCACCUGCCAGAUGUCUGAGCCGGACAGCGGGACGAGGGUUGUAGUCCAGGGUUUCGCCAAUCGGUGUGGUUCCACAGAGGCGGACCUCCUGCUCCUCUUCCCCAACCAUGGAGCCUCUUGCAGAGGCUAAAUCUUCUAAAGCCUGCAAACAGAGCCAAGAGGAGGUGCAGAAGGUUCCAUUAUUUGAGCUGGACCAUGAGGAGGAUGAGGAAGAGGGUGGCCUCUCAAUGAAGAGCAGAGGUGGCUGUACAUAUGCAACACAUGGCCUUGCGACCCCUGCAGGCACAGACCCUGAUGCCUUCAUAUACGUGAACUUCAUGAAGAGUCACUGCUGCUACGACGCCAUCCCCACCAGCUCCAAACUGGUCAUUUUUGACACAACACUACAGGUGAAGAAGGCUUUCUUUGCUCUGGUGGCUAACGGUGUGAGGGCAGCGCCACUGUGGGACAACAAGCUGAAGUGUUUUGUGGGUAUGCUGACCAUCACUGACUUCAUCAACAUUCUCCAUCGCUAUUACAAGUCUCCUCUGGUUCAGAUCUAUGAGCUGGAAGAACACAAGAUAGAGACAUGGAGAGAGAUCUAUCUACACUCUGUUAACAGACUGAUCAGCAUCACUCCUGACUGCAGUCUGUUUGAUGCCAUCUACUCCUUGUUGAAGAAUAAGAUACACCGACUGCCAGUCAUCGACCCGGCAACAGGAAAUGUUCUCCACAUCCUCACUCACAAACGCAUCCUGAAGUUUCUCCACAUCUUUGGAUCUACGAUUCCUAAACCCAGGUUUCUUCAGAGGCGGAUCAAUGAAGUGGCAAUCGGUACCUUCAAAGAGAUCGCAACAGUCAAGGAAUCGGCCACUGUUUUCGAAGCUCUGAGCAUUUUUGUAGAGAGAAGAGUGUCCGCUCUGCCUGUAGUCAAUGAGCAAGGUAAAGUUGUGGCGCUGUACUCCAGAUUUGAUGUCAUUAACCUCGCAGCCCAGAAAAACUACAACAACCUGAAUAUGACGAUGCGGGAGGCCAUUACCUCCAGAGCCUGCUGGGUGGAGGGAGUCCUCAAGUGUUACCCUUACGAAACCCUGGAGACCAUCAUCGACCGCAUUGCAAGGGCUGAGGUUCAUCGUUUGGUGUUGGUUGACAGCCAAGAUGUGGUGAAAGGGAUUGUCUCACUAUCUGACCUUCUACAAGCCCUGGUUCUCACUCCUGCAGGUAUUGAUGCACUGUACUCCUAACUCCAAUCCUCCUGUUCAUCCCUUGCUCUUUCUUUAUAUCCGUCCAUCCACCCAUCUGCCUUCAAAUCCUCGAGAGUUUCCUGCUUCUUCUGGCGAUCUAUGGUCCUCAUGUUCCCACUGAUCAAACUCUUCUUCAUCGUCAUCCUCCUGAAGACAACAAGGAUCUUUCUUCUCUUCCUGUGAAACUUUCUGGUGUCAAGUUCCAACUCUGCUAAUUUCCUCCCUCUGUGAAAUCCCCUCUUUUCAAGAAUACUACCAAGUGUCCUCAUCGAACAAACGACACCUUUAAGGGAUUCAUCUAAAUCUCCUGUGCUCCUCAAAGGUCAACCUAAAAUAACCCAAUCGCCAGAAUAAAUGUUAGCAUUGCACGUUUCUGCAAACCAUAAGUAUGUUACAUUUGUACAUUAUUAUGUAGUAAAUCCACUGAAACUUUAAGUUUCCACAACACUGUGAUUAAUGUGUGGUUAUGUUUAGGAAAAUAUCAAAUAUCCACUUUUGGUGGCACAACAAAAACAACUGCUUUUAAUGGCACUAUCCCAGCAGGAACGCAGUGGUGUCUCAAUUAAAAUAACCACUUUUCAUGUUACUUUCCUUGGUGGAAACAAGGUGAUGUAUCAUUAUAAAAGCCUGUGUUUGGUGGCUAAAAAGCUGCUGGAACAGGGAUGACUUGCUCUAAAACAACCAGUUUUGUGGUUUGUUGGUCUCGAACAAUGGACCUCAUUGAUCAGCAACUUAGCAGCUGUCUCGCCUAGGUGACACACCAUCAACUGUCCCCUCCACCUCCUGAUCACAAAAUCGGCUCAUAUACUACGUCACGUUAGAAAUGUUGAUGUGAUACCUAUCAAAUGUACAAAUGUAACAUAUUCAUGGUUUGUAGAAACUUACAAUGCCAACAUUUUCUUCUGUCGACUGGGCUGCAAAUAACCAUCUCUUCAAAGUCAACCAGUCAACCGUUGAAGCAUCAAACAAAAUGUGCCUGGAGCCUGCUCUUUCACAUCCUGUCCCUGGAAAAUAUACAAGAGUACCUUCAAAACUCUCUGCCCAGCCACAGUCAACUCUUCUUUCACUAUUGAAUACUUGAUCCUCUAACACAGCUUCAAGACAACAGUUACCUCCACCAGAGUCCUGCAAUCUUACCUUCCAACCAACCAAGAAGUUUCCUUAUCCUCUACGUUCUACAAAGUCCAACGCUGAACCUCCACACCCUCUCUCAAACGCCCCUUUCAUCGGUCUUGAUGCUGCAGUUCCUCCUCUGAAACCACCAUGCCACCAGCACCUCUUAGCCAACACAUCCCAGGUAUUUACGCGGGAUCAUACUGUCAAGAUGGAUGACAACAAGAUGGAGAUUAAUCACGUAAAAGACUAUGAGGUGGCAAAGUAAAUGAGAGGUUAGCAGAGCGGGUGUGACGAAGAAGUCACUGUUUUCAGUCCCCGUCAGGAGACAAAUAUAGAAAAAGAAAGUGACAAUCGUUCUUACCAAUAAAAUGGACGCCAGAAAAGACUGUGGUUGUGCUGGGAAGCUGCCAGUGUUGAACUAUAUCACAGGUGUGGCUGGAAAACAGCACUCAACUAAUACACAUCCAGAGACUUCUGAACUGACUCUGACUAAAGAAUAACUUGGUGGUUAUUUUGGGAGUUCUGGUUUGUUGAUUCGACAUUAUUAAAAAAAAAGGUUGGGGAUGGAAUGUUUAAUGGUUUGUAGGAUAUUAUAUUUAAUGGUUUUUACUUGACUUUCUGGUCUUAGUAUGAUUGCAAAUUCAUUCAUACAUUGAAAAUAUUGGAUUUACAUUUUUGUAAAUGUACUUGUGUUCCAAUCACUGUGAAAAAUAAAGGUUAAAUGUUUUGCUUUGAA